GUGUUGGAGAAAAGCAAAAAGCCGUAAAUGUAGUGCAAUUUUUUUCUGUCGUGUACAUGUGCUGUUCAUAAAAUCAUCUUUUAAAAUAAACUGUACACGUUAAAAUGUCUCAUUAACUAAUAAUUAAUACUAUCAUCAAUAACAAUCAGUAUUUACUUUUAUCAGUCGGCAGUAGUGUGUGGUGCUACUUCGUAAAGCUAACCGAGCUGGUCAAGACAGGCAUAUACUUGAGUGUCCAGGGUGGGUACCACAAAGCCUGGCCCGAGUCCGUUAGGAUGAAGAAGAAUGUCACGCAAUGGGGCUGCUUAGAAGCCAAAGAGAGGUGGAAAGGCCUGUUUUGGCUGUCACCCGACAGAUUUGUUGCAGGUUCUUCAUCCUUGGGUGGAGAUGUGAUGUGAAAAGGUAAACACUCAAAGAAAACAAUAGGUAAGGUGUACAGCAACACCCUGGGAACAGGCCAGGAGACCACCCCUCUUGA
Scleropages formosus (Asian bonytongue) is the source of this 478-nucleotide long non-coding RNA. The record is from Ensembl. Lineage: Eukaryota; Metazoa; Chordata; Actinopteri; Osteoglossiformes; Osteoglossidae.